Molecule: long non-coding RNA, 1473 nt
Organism: Stomoxys calcitrans (stable fly)
Lineage: Eukaryota; Metazoa; Arthropoda; Insecta; Diptera; Muscidae
Exons: 3
Source: RefSeq, a predicted model, not a curated record
UCUUUGAACAAACAAUACCAAUGAAUAUUAUUUCUUUGUAAAACGACCUCAAAUUACAUUAUUUCUAAGUCAUUUUAUGAUCACCGCCAAAUUGUUGUUGCGAGAGGUCUGAAGAAAUGCCAUUAGCUGGGAUGAGAACUUACCUGAAGUGUUGUAUGGCAAAUGGAAUCAUUGGCGAGAUGAGUUAAAGAAUGUGGCUCAAGUGAGUCUCCCUAGACAUUACUUCCGGAUUGGUUUUCCAGAAUCGGAAUCCAGCGAGGACGCCUUUGGUGUCAUGUCUUAUUGGAGGCCGUUAAUGCCAAAUGGUAAAAUUUAGGCUGCAGUAUUGGAAACCCGUUUGCUGUGUAACAUAGAAAAUGAUCUUCGUCAGAAGCUUGACGAGGGUCGCCACUUCCACAUGAAAAUGUGGUUACAACAACAUUCCUUUAAGGUUUGCCGAAGGGUAUGUUGAAUCGAUUCAACAACUGUCAUUAAGUGGAUUAAUUCGGACUACAGAAGGUAUAAAUCGUUCGUAGCCCAAAGAAUUGCCGAGAUAUUGGACUCGACUCGUCCCGCUGAUUGAAAUGGUUGUCUACGAAUUUGAAUGUAACGGACGAAACAACAAGAGCAAAGAGAAACACGAAUUUUUGCUUCAAUUCUCGUUGGCACCAAGGAAUACAAUUUUUGCAUGAGCCUGAAGGUAAUUGGCCUAAAAUGGUUUCCGCCCGGAAUGAUGCAAUUUGUGAAGAGGAGCUUUGCCCGAAAUUGUUAGCGUUUGGCAAACGGCGUUACCACCUCAUGGCGAACAAAAAGACUUGCAUUGGAAACAUUUUUUGCUUUUUAUUUUUGUACUUCACGGCUUGUCUAUCCAUCUAUACAGCAUGUAUUAUGGUUAUUUAUUUUUGAUUUUUCAUAUAAUUAUUGAUUUUAAUAUAAUCUCGCGACUUUUCCUGACUUCAUUUUACUUGUUGGUCUGAAUUGCGCUUUCGUCUCGGGGAUAGGAAGCUUUCCUAGGGUCAAAAUUCAAUACUUCUGUAAAAAUCGCAAGACAGGAUGCGCCCAUUUCAAAUGUAUUUUGGUAAAUAUUUACACAAAUGUCAAUAUACAUACAUAAAUAAUUUUGGCACACAUCGAAAAGAAAAAAAAAAGUUAAAAAGGCACAGCGCAGUGAGUAAAGCAGAAUACCCGAAGCAAACAAAGAAACAAAGGGUCGACAAUGCAAUGGUCUCUGCGCUGCAGAAGCGUCGUCGCAACCGAGACAGGCACACCCAAAAUUAACUAAUCAACAGGAAUAUUAAAUAAAGUAGAAGGAGGAUCUAUUUCGAAAAUCGUCUAUUUUUGGAAACCUAAUUCUAUUUAAUACGACAGUAAUUGAACCAAACCAAUGGUUUUAUUUAAGUGGAAUGUUCAUUUUUUUACAUUUAGAAACGGACAUAACUAUAUGUAAAUAUAUAUAUUUAUACCUAUAUAAAUAUGCAUAUGUAAAUAUUUAGU